UAGCCGUAAACGAUACUCGCUAGGUGUCGGCCACGGUGCGACCGUUGUCGGUGCCGUAGGGAAGCCGUGAAGCGAGCCACCUGGGAAGUACGGCCGCAAGGCUGAAACUUAAAGGAAUUGGCGGGGAGCACCACAACGGGUGGAGCUUGCGGUUUAAUUUGGAUUCAACGCCGGAAAUACUUACCGGGACCGACAGCAACAUGAAGGCCAGGCUGAAGACUUUGCCGGAUUAGCUGAGAGGAGGUGCAUGGCGUAGUCGUGU
RNAcentral lists this ribosomal RNA (262 nucleotides) under uncultured archaeon. RNAcentral's name for it is "partial 16S ribosomal RNA". It matches the Rfam family "Archaeal small subunit ribosomal RNA", at positions 748 to 1009 of the family's 1478-position model. The record is from RNAcentral.